RNAcentral lists this long non-coding RNA (206 nucleotides) under Mytilus galloprovincialis (Mediterranean mussel). Lineage: Eukaryota; Metazoa; Mollusca; Bivalvia; Mytilida; Mytilidae. The record is from RNAcentral.
AAACAAGACAAUGCACAAUUUAAUGUCACAUACAUGAUGACCUCACCUUGUACAUCAGGAAUUUUAUUUCUGUAUUAUCGUCAUGUAGACCCAGAUCAAAUUUGUGAGUUAUGUAGGAUAAUUAAAGUUACAGUUAAUUGACAAUUUGAGUGUAUCUAAUAAUUCCUAUUUGACAGACCUGCAUACCAUCAGUAUGUACUAACAGA